CAGUAGCCACGGUAAUACGAAGGGUGCGAGCGUUAAUCGGAAUUACUGGGCGUAAAGCGUGCGUAGGCGGUUUGUUAAGUCUGUUGUGAAAUCCCCGGGCUCACCCUGGGAAUGGCAAUGGAUACUGGCAAGCUAGAGUGUGUCAGAGGAUGGUGGAAUUCCCGGUGUAGCGGUAAAAUGCGUAGAGAUCGGGAGGAACAUCAGUGGCGAAGGCGGCCAUCUGGGACAACACUGACGCUGAGGCACGAAAGCGUGGGGAGCAAACAGGAUUAGAUACCCCUGUAGUCCCUGUCUCUUAUAC
Molecule: ribosomal RNA, 301 nt
Filed under: uncultured bacterium
Lineage: Bacteria
Description: partial 16S ribosomal RNA
Rfam family: Bacterial small subunit ribosomal RNA
Source: RNAcentral